RNA transcript from Arabidopsis thaliana (thale cress), 227 nucleotides. RefSeq lists it as uncharacterized. The transcript has 2 exons. NCBI's taxonomy places the organism in Eukaryota, Viridiplantae, Streptophyta, Magnoliopsida, Brassicales, Brassicaceae. The record is from RefSeq.
CGAGAAUUGUCCUAAAACACAACCUCAACAUUUGGAACAACCCCAAGAAUCAACUUGCACUGAAGUGGUCGUUGGUGAUUCAGUGGAGAAGCUCACACGAAGAAUUAUAGAAAUAGAAGAGCAGCCUGGAAAUGAGCGAUUGGCGGUAAAGACUGUGGUUGAGAAGGUAAAGCCGAGUGUUGUGAAGGUGAAGCCCAGAAACUUUUGGUGUUUGUGUUAACUACGAG